This 84-nucleotide transfer RNA is filed under the name Bacteroidota bacterium. Its description in RNAcentral is "Bacteroidetes bacterium (anaerobic digester metagenome) tRNA-Leu". It matches the Rfam family "tRNA". Rfam says of the family: Transfer RNA (tRNA) molecules are approximately 80 nucleotides in length. Lineage: Bacteria; Pseudomonadati; Bacteroidota. RNAcentral also lists the same sequence under 1 other name. The record is from RNAcentral.
GCCCGGAUGGCGGAAUUGGUAGACGCGCUGGUCUCAAACACCAGUAGGUUCACCCCUGUGCCGGUUCGAUCCCGGCUCCGGGCA